This 17063-nucleotide long non-coding RNA is filed under the name Lynx pardinus (Iberian lynx). The record is from RNAcentral. Lineage: Eukaryota; Metazoa; Chordata; Mammalia; Carnivora; Felidae.
GCCCCAGGCGCUCGGGUCGUGAAGGAGCUGAGGGCCCUACAGGCUGAGCCACCCGAGGGGCGUUCCGAGGUUCCGGGCGGGGCCGACCGAGGGGGCUCCUUCGGGCCCCACCAGCCUUGCGCCUUUUUCGCUCGGUCUCCUUGGCCUCCCGCUCUUGCGAUGCCGCUUUCCUUUUCUCUUGCUCCCGGGCUCGGGCCUCGGCCGGGGGCCCCGCCCGCCAGUUGGUCGCCUCCUGCAGCACCCUGGAGGCCCAGGGACGGCGGGGCGGCGGUUCAGGGGAUCCCGAGCGCGGCCCACACCUGGGACAAUGAGCAGGAACCCAGGUGAGCAGUUUGUGGGGGAAGGGGGCCGAAAUCCGGGGAGCUGGGAGCACUGGAGACCAUUUGGGGCAGGUGUGUGGAGGGGUGUGUGUGAGUGUGUGUGCGUGUGCACGUGCGUAUACGUUAGGGCUGAAGUCGAAGCCGGACUCCUCACCAUCUCUCCAUGCACACUUUAACAGUGUCUGCCCCAUCUCACCUCUUGCCCUUCCUCACACCCACUCCUGCCCCCCAAAACAAUGCGGGACGAGUCAGGCCCCAGCCCUCGGGAUGGGGUGGGGGGAGGCGUGGGAAAGAGAAGGGGGACCAGCAGCACUGGCUGGUGCCUGCGGGGAGGUCCGGACCCCACUCCCCGCCCCACCACUCUCUUCCCGUCACCCCUCCUUCACUCACGUGCGGCUCUGGGGCCCACGGGCCCAGUGGCUGGCUUGGAAGUCCAUGGGCUGUCGAGGAGGGGCGCGGCGACUAUAAUGACAGGAAAUUGUCUUCACUUCGAUCACCAGCAGCUUGGAUUUCUGCACCCAGAGGCAGCUGCCAGACUCCUCAUCCUGGGGCUCCCGGGGGCUGUCGGGCCCCUCGGAGAAUAGCUGGCCAUCCAGCAUCCUGCCCCACCCCACCCCGGCCCCCCACCCUCCCACCCGCCCCGAGAGCCCCCUCCCAGCCCGAGGAGCCGGCGCCCACUGCAGAGCGAACGGGGCCAGAGACUGGGGACUAUAUAUACCCGGGCACACGUGUGUGCCUGUCUGUGUGUGUGUGCGCGCGCGCAUGUGACACGGCGCGGCGCGGACGGCACAGCGCUGUUACCUCCCCCAUGUGCACGGCCGCCCCCUGGGGCCCAGGAUUGGGCGCCCCUUCCCAUUGCUCAUGUCCCCCAAGCCUGAUGGGACCUGCGUGAGUGGGCAGGGGACUUCUAAUUCUUGCCAAGCUGACGGUGCCCCUCCCCCACCCCCAUUUCUUCAAGCUUCCUGUCGUUUUAAUCCUUCCCUCUUCUGCUUGUCGGGGUGCCUGACCACCAGGGUUCUGCCUCUGACUUCCUGCCUCGGAUUUCAGUUUCCCGGACAGGGAGGUGAUGGGAAUGGAAGUCAAGGUCUCUGCCUGCCACUCUCCGCUGGUUUCCAUGGGGUUGGGGUGCAGGGGGUCUAUUUUUAGCGGCAGUGGCUGUUCGGGUGCAGAGAGAUGAGUAACCAGCUUCCAUGCGGUGGAGGGAGGAGGCGGUGGUUUUCACACAGCUUUUAUGUGACUCUGGGGGAGAGCUGCCUCCCCCAAGCCCAGAAAGGGUAACCUCCACACCCUUAACUCCUUACCCUCUCAGUGUUGCAGCCCAGGGCUGCUUGUACAGCUGCACACAGGAGUCUGUCUUGGCCAUCCUAACUGUCCCACACUCCUGUUCCACAUGUUUGUCCUUGGGGACCUAUGGAGCCCUCUCCCCGCAGCAGGCUCUCUCCCCCAAUCCAGGAGCCAGGACUUGGGGGUCAUACUGUUCUGUGCCCACACAGCUCUGCUGAGCCUUAUGGAGGACAGACCACGGUGGUUAUGCAUUUGCACCCUUUCAGAAGUGAUGGAGGAGGAAUACUGUGCUCUCUUGGCAAAACCAACCCCCUAGCAACUGAAAUGAUGAAAGUGGCCCCCACUUCCCAGGGUAGAGCUUCCCCUCACCACUACCACAAUCCCUGGCUCACUUCCCCCCCACCUGAAGUGGUGCUUAAGAUGGUCACCUUUUAGGAUCAUUCUGUCCCAGGGGCAGAAGGUGUUGCUUACAUCUACAUGAUCCCUCCCCCCAAGCCUAUACCAGGUGUCCCCUGAUUCACCAUGGUAAUGUUAGUGGCAGCACAGCCCACGCCAACCCUUCCAUGCAGAGACUUAGCAACCAUGCCUGGCAACCAUGGCAGCAGCUCCAGUGGAGGAGACGGGUGCAGGGAGGUGGGAGAAGAGUGUGUAUGGCAAUGGUUGCUGAGGAAGAAGGGAUAAUUUGCCUCUUCUAAGAGGACUAAGUAAGAAUAAGCUAUGAGGCUCCUCAAUUUUGUCCCUUAUCUUUCCUUCUACUCCAUUCUCAGAUUCUGAGACUGAUUGGUUGGGUUUUAGGGGAGAAUGGGAGAGGCAAAAGAUCAUGCAGCCCUUUGGGUACAGACCCUUCCUUUUACGAAGAUGGAGCCAGAAGGGUGUUGUGGGGCAGAGAUGGACUUACUGAGAACCAGAACAAUCAAACCCAGGCUCCCUGCUCCCCAAUAUGGACCUUUAAGAUAACCCAAACAGCCCCUAUUCCAACCAUUGGAGGCCCCUCCCCCCUCCCCAGACCCUUCACACACCUACCAGCUCUGCACACUGGUGGCUCUUUGCUCCACAGUGCUUCCUUCCACCUAGGUCCCACCAGAGUCCUAAGGCUUUUUAAAGCCCUUGCCUCCUCCCUAGACAAACUCUCCAUGAUGGAAUGUGACAUAAGGAGACAUCUGUCCUUUCCAUCAUGCACUCACCACCCCCCCACAUAAACAUACCCUAAUUCUAAUAACUUGGAAGCCUCCCUCCCCCAAGUCUGGGAAUGUGCUGUAAGCUGUGAAGAAGAGAAUGCAGAAGCAGGGACUUUCUCCAGAGCCAAGAUGGGGGCCCUGACAGAUGCCUUGAAACUCUUGCGCAUGUGCCGUCAGGAAACCUACUUUGGAGGAACCAAUAUAGUAUGUCAGGGUUCAUCAGAGUUCUUAGGUACAGUGUGCGUACGGCAAGGAAUUACUCCAAGAUUGCUUCUGGUCUUGAGCAGGAAACGGUAUCAAACCUACAAGUCAGUGGUGAGAUGGCACCCAAAAUCUGGCUCAUGCCCAACAGUCUAGCAGUCCUUAUGGUGUUUGGUAUUGACUAUUUUGGCCCACACGGUUUCAGCACAGGUAAAGAGCCUGCUCCCCACAACCCUCACCCUCCAGCUCAUUCGCACGUUGGCUGAAUGGCAAGGCAUUUUGUGGGUUCAAAGACAGUGCCAGCUCAGCAAAAUUCAAACACAGAGUCCAACCUUCCCUGAGAAAAGUUGAUGACUGUGGCAUGUCUCUCUGCCUAAAGAAGACCUCAGUCUCUCUACUCUCUGGAGACAAAAUACUAUUAUGAGAUUUUCCUGGGGUCCAGUUAUGGUUCAGGCAGAGGGGAAAGUGAGGUAACAAGGAGAAUUUCUGGGAAUAGGCUGGGAAAGGUAGUAAGUCUAGCACAGUAGUAAAGAGCAGGAGCUCUGGGGCCAGACUGUUGGGUUCAAAUCCUAGCUCUACAUUUUAUUAGAUGUGUGGCCUUGAGCUGGUUCUUAGUCUUCUGUGCCUCAGUUUUUUUGAACAAUCUGUAAAACUGGAAUCAUGCCUACCAUUGUUCUGAGGAUUAAAUGAAUUAAUAUAUGUAAGGCACAGAGAAUGGUGCCUGACACAAUUAUCUGUGUGUGUGUGUGUGUGUGUGUGUGUGUAUACAUGUGCCAUUAUUCUGUUGUUGUCAAUAAUGAGUUAAAGAAGCCAUAUGAAGUAGGACGUUUGAGCACAGUGUCUAUCAACUACAAGAAUCAAAAACACUGCAAUACCAUGAAGAGGUUCCUGUCAUUUUAAUUACGUUUGCCAUGAAAAGCAAUAACCUCAGCUAAUCACUCUGCCCUCCUCCUCUUCCUAACCCCCACCUCCCUUCAUAUGCACACAGCACAGGAACCCAAAGGCCCUCCUCCCCACAAUCCUCCCCACUGCCAUUAUGGGAAGAAAUGUCACUAAAUGGACUCAGCCUCCUCCAUACAGCAUUUAACAGGAUAAAUAAAAAUACCUUUAGAAGGGGUUUGUUGUGCUAUUAUCUCAGGGUGGAGUCAGGGGCAAAGGCAGAGGCAAAGGCUGGGUGAGGUCUGGGGAUCUCUUAGAGAUCAGAAUUUGCUUGAGGGGCACACAGCCCAUCAUUCACCCAGUAAGGGGGAUAUGUCUAAGAAGGCAGGGGCUAAGAUGGGCUAGGCUGUAUGUGUGAGGAUAAGGACAGCUAAAAAUCCAUUCUCCUUCCUCCCCCCACACCUUCCCCAGCUCCCAGGGAGUCCCAGGUAGGGGGCUCCCAAGCAGAGAACAGAGUUACAAUUCUCUUAAGGUUUCAUCUGUGGUUCCUAGAACUGUGGGCAGGCAGUGAGUGGGGUAUGUCCCCUGGUGCUGCCUGACCCGUUCCCCAGCUCAGGGCUUCUCUCCUCCUGUGAGCACCAGGGCCUGCAGGAUGUCAGACAGUGAUACAAUCCCCUUGACCACAUCAUUCUCAUCUACCACUACAAGUCGGUGAACCUGCGUGAAGCAACACAGGAGAAAAGGGAUUUUAGUAACGGCCUCAGUUAGGAUGAGCCCUUCAACCCCGACUCUUCUUGCCAAACCCCACACUCAAAGCUGCUUCCCCCAGCUCCUUCUGGGUCACUGGCCUCCCUACCUCUGCUUCCACCAGCCUGUUGAUGAUGGUCUCCAGAGUCUCAUGCAGGUAACACUUGAGGACACCCUCAAAGUAAUGUGAUCGAUGUUGGAGGGCUUUCGUCACAGACACAUCUAAGUUGUUGUAGGUCUUUUCUGCUGCCAGAUUCUGGGGAGAGAGAGGAAGGUGCUUGCAGGAAGCAAGGGAGCCAGCCCCCAACCCCUGACCCCACCCACCUACACCAGAGGGAUUUAGGGUAGUUGUCAGUCAUGCCCACAAGCCACACCCAACUCAUUCAAUUCCUUUUCAAAUAGGAUUCAAAAGUUUGGAAGCUUCUAAAACCCUUAGGUCCCAGAAGAGACUCUCUUCUACUCCCUCUCCACAUUCAAUACCCCACCCCUUUCCCUACCUCCCAGCCCCUCCACAAUCACUCACGAUAACAUCAAACUUGGAGUAGAUGUCCACCACACGCCCUAGGGGGACAGAGGCAGCUCAGCAAGGAGGAUCUGGCAUCCAAGGCUCCCCCUGCCUAUAGCAUCGCCCUCCGGGCUGAGCUGACGGACAGAUUUUCCCAGAACCACCCUGGCUUCCCUGGAGCCCUCCCUCUUCUUCUGUGAAAUCUCUCACCUUUCUCGUCUACUACUGGCAGUGCUGAAACUCGGUGUUGUACAAAGAUGCCCAGAGCCACGUAGACAGGGGUGGUGGUGCGGACCAUAGCAAUGUUAGCAUAGGUGCCAAUCUGUAGCUCUUCCAGAGACUUAGACAUGAACUCUGGCUUGGGGAACUCAGUGAUCUGAGGAGAAAACCAUCAGCUUGAUCUUGAAGGCUCCCCAAACCACCCCUGGAUACCCCUCCAACCUUGUAUAUAAGGAGUAAAAACCAGGCUGAGGACACUUACAAACAGUUUGAGGAACUUGAGGAUACGCUUGUGGGUAAGGAUGUACAAGGUGUUGCCUGAUUCUGGGUCAAUAACUGGCAGCCUGUGGAUCUUGUUUCGAAUUAAUGAAGAGACAGCAUCAAACAAGCUGUGGGAAGGUGGGGAAUAAAGAUAAGUCCCACAGUGCUGAGCCCAAGGUGGGUAAACAGCUUUUAAGAACAUAUUUACAAAGAGGGAAAACUGGUGACUGGGAGAGGACAGCAGUGUUCAAACCAGACCUAAAGAGUGUGUGAGUGUGUGUGUGUGUGUGUGUGCGCGUGUGUGUGUAUGUGUGUUUGUGAGGAGCAUCUUUUCUCUCUUCUGCCUCUAGAUCUCUGGGUAUCUAAAGCUUUAGCUACGCUGGUGGCAAGGCUCUUCCCUUUCUGGACAAAUGGGUAGCUGGAACUCACCUGGCAUUAGGAGAAAUGCAGACAAGUGGUUUGAAGGAGUCCUGUAGGUACACCUCUGAAGGGAAAAGGGAGGUUCACAAAAUACCAGUAUGGAAAACCACUUCCCACUAAACUCUCCAUCCCAUUUUCUUUUUACAACCCCCAAUUCUCUACAUACCUCUCCAAGUUUCUAUCUUGUGUUCUUCCAGCUCAUAGAUCUGUACCUGGAAGCAGAAGCAACAGAACUUGAGACUUGAUCUCUCUGCUGCAUUAACCCCUUGUAGUUUCCUUGGGAGAAAGGAACUGAGAAUGGGGGACUCUGGGUAGGGAAAGUGGUUUUGGUCAUUGCGCUAAGGUUCCUUACCAAGGCUGAUUUAUAGUAGCGAUGCAGGAUAUUGAUGAAAUCGGUGAUGGUCAGCAUGCCUAGAAGCCAAGACAAGAUCCUUCAGCACUGUUCAAAGCUUCUCUCCCUGCCCAGCACAAGAUGCCAAUAAUUCUGUGUUCCAGAAACUUUUGCUUACCCACAAAACUUUGCUUCUUACUAUCCCACAAAGGGGCAGCCCGUACACCAUUAGUCACCAAAGCAAAGAAAGCUUUCUUCACCUGUAGUCAAAAAAAGUAAUAAUCACAAAGGAAAAUUCACAGGGUGCAGGACUUUAAAAGAAAGGGGUUGGGUAUGCUGGGGAAAACAUGAGACUAAACCCAUAUAAGGACAGGGAUAUUACCCUUAGGAUGAGACAGGAUGAAAGUUUUUGAACCAGAGGCUCCUAGGAAGGGGGAUGGGAGAAGAGGAUUUCACCCACCUGCAGGGAAGUAUCAAAUACAACCAAUUUGGAGCUUGUGGGAAUCAGGUCAUAGCAGCGAUGAGACUUCAUGAAGGAAGUAUACACACUAUUGUUGGAUUCUGGGGUCUCUGCAUAGGGUGGGAUAGUUAGAAGCUUCCUUCCAUGCAUCAACUCACAAUCAAAAGAGGCAGAAAAUAAAAGUGUAGUUGUUCAAAUAUUUAGAGGCUGAUUUUUUUUUAUAAGGCCCCCUUGUCUAUCUAUUUUGUUCCUAUUCCCACAAAACCUGGAUAAACCUGUUAGAAACCAUUUCAUUCAACCCCCGACUCCAGGUAGGGCUAUAUUUAUUGGCUCCUUAUGCAAAAGAUGGCUGACUAAAACAGAAAGUCUAUAAUAUCUAUCAUUAACCUGUUUAGUCUAAAAGUUUUUUUCUCAUCUUUAACUCAAAUUUUCCCUUUCAUAUGUUUAAGCGCAUUUUCACUUGUUCUCUUUUCUCAGUGAAGAUGUAAUUAAGCUUCUUAAAAUUCAAGUAAGCUUCUUAAAAUUCUUCUAAGACCUACAGAUGAGAAAGUCCUGGUCCAAGUUGGGCCAUUUUAGAUCAACAUUCAGUUGGAGCCCAGUGCUCAAUUAACCUGGCCCAAAACACCCCGAGAGUCCAUCUUGGGAUGACCCUGUGAAUCAGAAAUCAUCUCACCUACUCUAGGCCAAUGGGAGACCCUGGAUGUGUUUACUUGUCUAUUCCUCGGAUUUUAAUUGCUUGCUUUAAACUGGAGAAGCAACCCACAAAAUAAUAACCUGAAUGUGCUAUGUACUAUGCUAUGUGUACUUUAAAAAUAUGACAUCAUUUAAUCCUCACAGAUUGACAGUAAAUCUGGAAAGCAAAUACUGUCCUCAUUUUUCAGAUGAGAAAACAGGUAGGAAGCAGUUAAAUAAACUGUUCAAGGUCACACCAUUAGUAAGUGACAAGAAAGACUUAAACACAGACCUACCUGAUGCCAAAGUUCAUGAUCUUAAAUCCUAUGCCAGUUGUUUGUUUUUAAUUUUUAACCAGUCAUACAGAUACACAGUUUAAAGAAUCAAAUAGUUCUACAAAUUUUGUUAAGAAAAACUAGUCCCUGGCACCUACUGCCCUGUACUAGCCCUCCCCAGAGAUGAGACCUCUUUUAGCUGAUCAUUUUGGCACUUAUUUCUAUGUGUAUAAAGUAACAAGCUAUAUAUAUUGCUCUUUUCUGAUAUUUCCUCUUUUGGGCAUUAUCUAUUAUCAUCCAAGGUAUAUGAGAAUUUUUAGUUCUCCUUCAUACUAAGACCCCAACACAAACAUGAACCUCCCAUCUCCCCAUUCUUCCAGAAGUUAAACUAUAAUGUUGGUUACAUUAGUAUUUAAAUAAUUUUGACUAAAUAUUAUUAUUCAGAGCUAAGCCCAACUGUAAACUCUUGACUUUUUUUUUCUUUUCCUUUUUUCUAAAGAUUUUAUUUGUUUAAAGUAACUUCUACACCCAAUGUGGGGCUUGAACUCACAAUCCUGAAAUCAAGAGUCAUAUGCUCCACUGACCAAGCCAGCCAGGCACCCCUUCAUUUAUUUUUUCUUUCUUUUGCAACUUUGUUUUCCCUGGAGUUAUUGUCGUCUUUUUUGUUUUUAAUAACUAAUUGAAGUAUUUAUAACUAAUGCAACCCCAAACUCUUCACCAAUUGUUUAAAUCUCCUUUUCAAGGGGUUCAGAAGCACUAGUCUAUCAAUUUAAACAACCCAAAGAAGUUUAUCCAGAGCCCAGUCUAUUCUGACCUGCCCAAAUCUGGGCUGGUUUGCUGCUGUGCACAGCUGUCAUCCUGAGAUCUUCCUUCAUCACCAUCCAGGGGCCCCCUUUCACGUCUCUCCUGUACUGGCAUUCCUGUGUCCUGUAUCCUAUGAUUUCAUCUUUUUUUUUUUAUUACUCCCUUGUUUUGGGAGUGUACAUCUUCCUGUAGCUUCCCGAGAAAGGGUGCAUGGGAGGUAAAUUUUUUGAGAACUUUCAGCCUGCAGAUAUCUUUAUUUUCUUUAUUUUACCUUCAUCUUUGAUGUAUAAUUUGGCUGGAUAUAGAAUUCUAGGUUUGAAUUUAUUUUCCUGCAGCAUGCUGAAGGCACUGCCCCAUUGCUGUCUAGCUUCUGGUGUGUUGAGAGUCUAAGGCAAUUCUGAUUCUUUUUAUGUAACUUGUUUUUUUCCUCUCUGAAGACUCAGGAUCUUCUCUUUGUUUCCAGUGUUUUGAAAUCUCAUGAUGAUUCUGGUUUAGGUGGGUCAAUUUCAUCCACUGUGCUGAAUACUCAAUGAGUCUUUUCAGUAUGAAAACUAAUGUCCUUCAGUUCCAGGAAAUGUUCUUGAAUUAUUUCCUUGAUCGUGUCCUUCCCUCUGUAAUGUCCUUUUUCUCUUUCUGUAAUUCCUAUUAUUUAUUUAUUUUAAAAUGUUUGUUUAUUUUUGAGAGAGAAAGAGUGUGGGCCCGCAAGCAAGGGAGGGACAGAGGAUCCAAAGCGGGCUUUGUGAUGACAGCAGAGAGCUGGAUGCGGGGCUGGAACUCAUGAAUGUGAGAUCAUGAACUGAGCCGAAGUGGGAUGCUCCACUCACUGAGCCACCCAGGCACCCCAUGUAACUGCUAUUAUGUAGAUUAUAAGAGUUCCUUGACUGACCCUUUAAGGUUGUUUUUAUUUGUUUUGGUUUUUUGUUUGGUGAAUUGUUGCUGUUGUUAAAAUAUCUUCUCUCCUAUUUUAUGCUCCUUUGUUUUGGGUGUGGUUUUUUUCCCCCACUUCUUUGAUUUUUGUGGGUUUUUUUUUAAGAUUGUAUUUUUAAGUAAUCUCUACACCCAACAUGGAACUCAAACUCACAACCUCAAGAUCACGAAUCACAUGCUGUCUGGACUGAGCCAGCCAGACACCCCACUUCUCUGAUUUUUAAUUCUACUUUUUGGGAAACUGCCUCAACCUAAUUUCCCAAACCUUCUACUUAGUUCUGAACUUUUGCUAUUAUACUUUUAAUAUCCUAGAGCCCCUCUUUGUUUUCUGAAAAUUCCUUUAAAAAAUGGUUUCCUGUACUUGUUGCAUAGUGGAAAUGUUCUUUAUCUGAAAUUAAUGUUAAUUUCUAAAGUUUUCUUCUCUAUGCAUUGAAUUUUUCCUUCUGUUGUUUUUCCUGUUUCUUUUAAAAAAUUUUUUUUAGUGUUUAUUUAUUUUUGAGAGAGGGAGAGAGAGAGAGAGAGAAAUGGCAUGAGUGGGGGAGAGACAGUGAAAGAGGGAGACAUAGCUGAGCUGUUAGCACAGAGCCAGACACGGGGCUCAAACUCACGGACUGCGAGAUCAUGACAUGAGCCAAAGUUGGGUGCUUAACCAACUGAGCCACCCAGGUGCCCCUUAUAUUUAUUUCUUUUGCAGGGCCAGUUUGGGUCAUUUUUCUUUUAAACAGUUUUUUUUUUUAAUGUUUGUUUAUUUGAGAGAGAGACAGACAGACAGAGUGCUAGCAGGGGAGGGGCAGAGAGAGAGAGAGAGAGAGACAGAGACAGAGACAGAAGCCAAAAGAGGCUCCAGGCUCUGAGCUGUCAGCACAGAGCCCGAUCUAGGGCGCAAAUCCACGAACCGAGCCGUGAGAUCAUGACCUGAGCCGAAGUCAGAUGCUUAACUGAAUGAGCCUCCCAGGCGCCCCUCCUAUUUGUUUCUUUUGGGGGGGAUGCAGUUUGGAUCUCUUUUCUUUUUUAAUGUUAGAGACUUUCUUUAGAUGUCUGGUAAUCCUUGGUUUAAAGGAGCACUCAAACCAUAUUCUAAGAGUGCAGUCUUUAAAGCUGAUUGGAAGCUCAAGUGUACACGUUAACUGUUAACACAGUUAACUUGUUAACUGUGAGCUGUUUAGAUGGGGAACAGUCCGUAUUUUUAGGGCUUUCUCUUCAAGGGGAUUCUGGAGAGAAGGAUUAUUUAUUCAGUUCCACGCUUGGGAGUAUGAAGUCUUUUCUGUCAGCAUUCUGGAAACUGGAUUGGAAAAAGGACUGGAAUUUCAGCAUCCAGAGUAGUUCACUUCGUGCUCCUGCAUUUGCUAUAGUACUUCAGCCCUCAACUAGGCCUGAGCCCCUCUCCAGACCUUCAGUCUUUGCCAAAGUUGGGAGGGGCAGCUUCCUAGCUGCACUCAGUGGAGCAGGGCGUCUCAGAUUCUGACUGCUUCUUAGAUCUUCAAUGCGUCUCGCCUUUCCCCAUUGCUAGUUUAUAAUUCAGUUUUCUCGGGUCUGCUAAAUCAUUUACCACUCUUGCCUCUGUUUUCCAGCUCCCAAUUACUAUUGUCUCCUCUUCUUUUUCUCCCUAUUCUGCCGGGUUUGUACCUUUUGAAAAAAAAUUUUUUAUGGUGGUUUUAGUCGCUCUUUGUAGAAGAACAAGAGUAGAUGUGUGUAUUCAAUCCACCACCUGUAACUGGAAGCCCACUAUUGUUUUUCAAAUUUGACAACUCACAGAACUCCCAAGAACAUGUCUUUUUUUUCAAGGUCGUGUAGGGGAAAACUGUGGCCUGUGCUGCUGGCCCCUGUGGGACUCCAGUAUUCCAAGUGUCCCCCAUCCUGGGACUCCCCUGCCUUGCCUGAGGCGGAUGGGCUAAAGGAGUUCCCAAGAACAUGUCUUUUGAUGUCAGUUUAAGGCAUACUUCAUUGAUAGUUAAAUAAUAUCAUUUUAGGCUACAGAAUUACAAGCAUAUUUGAUUUGGCUGUCUCAGUAGUUUAAAAGUAAUUUAAAUCAGUUCCCCAAUUUUAAAAAUCUGGAGAUUAACAUAAAGAUCCAAAUUCUCAAUUGCUUUCAAAAUCAGAUCUGACCAAACCAGGCUUGAAUUCCUAAACGGUGACAACGGACAAGACCUGGAUUGUUGCUGCCUCCUUUUACAUGUGACGAGAUCUACAGGUUGUCAGGAAUAUGCAGCCUCCAGCACUGCUUGGUUCAUGCAGACAGUUUGAGUUUUUGACCCUUGCCUUGGUGCUACUGCAAAUGUACUCGGAUACAUAAAACAGGCACUGCUAUCACGUGGCAGUCUCAGUUAUGAAGAAUAUCAUCCAGAUCAUUCAAAUAUGACCAUAUUAACUUUUCUGGAUACCAACAAAAUGAAAACAGAACAUUUAAAAAGUCUUGUGGAGAACUCAGAGACCCUUAAUAAUCUGUCCUAAGACCUCACCCCAUAUUUCAAUUCUCUGAGAAAGUAUGUACUCCUGAUACCAUAAAUAUGUCCUGGGAAGCCCCAGGAGUGUUCCUGGGCAAAAUCCUUUAAGGGGGGUGCCUAUAAGUUCUGCUUCUUUCUAGAUGGUCUACGGUUAACCAUUUCCUUCUCACCAGUUAUUCGGGAAGGUGCUGGAAUUGCCUUCUCCUGUGCCCUGGAUUUUAUGGUUUAGUGUCUCAAUUUCUAGAUUAGUUUUAAGGGCUUUCAAGGCCUUUCUAUAAUUUCUUGUGUACACUCAGUGGCUUUAGUGAGCUCACUGGAUGAUAAAAGCCUAGUGGCAUUGUUUCUGGGCUAAUUCAAAAGUACUAGGGGCCUUGAUUCAUGGUUAGGCAGCCCAGAGUUGCCUAUGGAAGUUUUUCCUCAAAAAUUUCCUUUAAGUGGUUUGAUAAUUGAAAAUCUUAGUCAUCCCCACCCUGCCCAAGAUUUACUCCUGGGUGCUCCUGCCAAAUUACUAUUCCUGAUUUGUAUGAUUUGGCACAUUAUCUGGCCCAGUUUUGAUUUUUCCCAGGGGGCAUCCUGAGAAGACUUGAAAACAUUGCUGAAGACAAGGUAUGGUUCAGCUAUUGCUUUCAUAGCCGGUCUCCUUUCUUUAGUAAACUUACCUUGAGAAUGCUCAUUUUCCAGAGCUGGGGAGCUAUCUGAAGAAGCAACCUGGAGAGACAAAAGAAACAAAGAUUCAGUCUAUCCUUGAUUCCAUCCAUUUUAGCCUAACAUUGGGAAGGGCUGGUGAACUAAUGACUUCAUUUAAAGCACCAUAAGGCCCUCUUGAAAUAUUAUCUCAUUUAAUCAUCAGAACCACCCUGAGGUAAAUACUCCUAUUAGCCUUAUUUUCACACAUUAGGAAACUGAGGUUCAAGAAAUAUUAAGCAGCCUACCCAAGGUCACAUGGCUGGUAAGAGGUAGAAUAGGAAUUUGAACACAUAUCUGUGUGGUUCCAAAGCCUAUGUCCUUAUAUACUACACUGCCUAAUGAAAUAUUAGAUCUUAAAAGCCAAGACUAGAAAAUCUGUGCUUAAGGCCAGUCCCACAAGGUUCUCACAGAUGUACUUUAUAAAAACACAGAAGCCAGAGAGACAAUACUGCUUUCCCCUCAAUACUAAGCCUAAAUGUAGACACUAGAAUCACAGACAUACCCCUUUACCCUAAGAGAGGACCACAUCUGGGGAGGAUCCCGGCAGUUGACUGUCACAGAGAGUUAAAGCUUAAAUGACUGAGGGGUAGAUGAGGACUGUCAAUGCUCUGAAACUGAAGACCUGACUCCUCUUAGCACCCUUGUGAGUCAAAGGCUGCUACAGCCCAGAGGAUGCUGGUUUUCUAAGUUUCUUUGCCCCUGACAGUCUUUGAAUACAGAGAAACCUUCAGAACCAUGUCUGUGCUCCCUCAAGUGGGAACAUUUGGAAAUUUCAUUGUUAUCUAGGAACGCAGGAGGGGUCAUGAUAAUUUCAAUCUACUGGAAUGGACAAGUUUGGCUCCGUUUGAUCUGGGUAAUAUACCCAAACUAACUUAAAGUCAUACUUCACCUACAUAGCUGCUGUAGUAACAUGAAAUUAAAAGCCUCGGCUUGAGCCUGGUAAGUUGGCUGGUAAACAGGGUCAAGUUGGCAGGACAGCCCUAAACGUCCCUCCCCUAAUGGGCCAGGGUGGGGGCAGAGGGGGAGGGGAAUAAUCUCCUUCUCUUCUCUCUGGGCUGCAUACAACUAUCAGCUUGGCCUGGCAUUUUGGCAAGGCUAUCGGAACAACAGCCUCAUCACUUAUAAGUGGGAGAGAGGGCUGUUCAGCAGUAAAGAUACACACAUAGUAUAACACAGUCUCACAAAGAUCUAUACAGAGACACAGAAACAGUUGCUUCUGUAGAAAUUAUUGUACCCAUUAUAUAAUACUUACAUACUGCACUGUGCUACAGUGUUUUGUUUUGUUGGUUCAUUAUCUAUCCAAACAGGUUUUAAAUUCCUGGAAGCCUAGAACUAUUUUGUAUUUCUCUGUAUCACCCAUAACAUCUAGCAUGGGGUUUUGCAUAUAAAUCUCAAUUGCUUUGUUUUUUAACUCUCAAAUUAAUAACGAUAAUGAUGCACACCGAUAUGAACAGAGAGACCUAUGAUUAAGUUACAGAGAGAGAAAACAGAUGUACAGCUAGAGAUACAGAAACCUACACAAUAGUCAACCACAACUGAAUAUGACUUUAUCUUUCUGCCUAUUUAUCCACAGAGGAGGAGAAUUACGUCCACUCUUCUCUGCUUUUAAUAACACAGGAGACCUGAGAAAGUCCCACUGUAAUACAUGAGUACAAAAUAUUAUUAUACAGACGCAGGCUAGAUCUGACACAUGGACUCACAGUUUCUUCUGAACUCCUGAUCCACAUUUCUAAUUGUUUGCUGGACAACCACAGAUGUCACACAGACUCCUCAAAUGCUUCAAUACAAAACAGUAUCUGUCCUUCCACCCUGUUAUUGUUACUGUGGUUCCCAUCUUUUUUUUUUUUUGCAUUGCUCUCGUAGGUGCCUAGAACUGUAGUUUUGAUUCCUCCAAGAAUGGGCCACGCCAACAUGUCUGCUUAGGAUCGCAGGGCAGGGCAUGACCUAAACUUGUCCUUAACAUCUAUCAGCUAAGCUGAUAUGUAAGAAAUGCCUCAAGUCCCUUUCUAUCCUUUCCACUUUUACAGUUUUAACUAUAGCUUUUACCUCUCACUUCUGCAGCAUUCUCUCAAUUGGUCUCCCUGCCCUAAAUCUAUCUCCUUUUCAUCUUUCAUGCUGUCUCCAAGUUCUCUCACUAAGCAUCUCAGGUUUGUAAGGGACUCUUAUCUCCAGCAACCAGGAGCUCAAUACUUUCUGAAGUAACUCCAUCCAUUUGCAGAAGCUGUUGAGAACAUUCCUAAAGCACACUUACUGCCUUGCUUAUAGAUCUUCAUGGCUCCCCUUAUUACAAAACAAAGUUCAAACGUAGUGUGGCAUGCAAUACCUUCAACCUGACCUCGGCCUACUUUUCCAAUUUUUUCUCCCAGUGCAAGCAAAAUCCAAACCUCCAGCAACAUCAUGCCACUGGCUCACCCCCAAUUAAUCUUUACAUACCCCGAUUUCUAUGCCCGUGCUCACACUGUUCUCUCAAACUGCAAAGCCCUCUCUUAGGUUUACAAUAAUUUCUCCCUCCCCAUGCUUCCACAGUCCUUUGUUUGCAUGUUGAUGAUAGCAUUUAUUACAGUCUACGUUCACUAACAACUGUCAUUGGCUUGCCCUCACCCCCGCUCUAGGCAGGCUGAGCAUUUUCAAAGCAAGGGUUUUCUUUUCUUUUUAAAACAAUUUCUAUCCCAAGAACCUAAUCAGGACAUAAAAUGUGAGGGCCAAAUUAGAAAAUCUAUAUAAAAAUGUUUUGUAAACUAUAACACAUUUAUGAGUAAGUAAAAUAAAAAUUGAUAUGUUGUUUUCAAUUUAAUGGAAUCAGACCCUUCUUUUAUUUAUUUAUUUAUUUAUUUAUUUAUUUAUUUAUUUAUUUAGUAAGUAAGUAAGUAAACUCUACUGCCCAACCUGGGGCUAGAACUCACAGCCCUGAGAUCAAGAGUCGCAUGCUCUGCUGCCUGAGCCAGCCAGGCGCCCCAAACUCUUUAUUCUCUUUAUUCUUGUGCAAAAUCCUCUUAAUCUGUAAGAGCUAAUUCCCUUGCCUGGGUGACCAACUGCAAAUCAACUUUACCACACUUCCGUCUGUUUUCUCAUUUAUAACUCGAGGGCCAUGACCUCUCUGCAGGCAGAGAAAGGGUGUGGUAAAGGAAUUACUAUAGGCAUGGGACUGACCCAAAGAAAGGUGAACCUGCCAGUAACAUGAUAAAAACGAAGACAUGAAGGGUUACUCUGCUUGACAGAGAAUACAUGGUUCCAGAUGCUAGAAGGCGGCUCCGGAGAGUGAGGGUGGGUCCAAACAUGCAGCGGGCUACCUGCAGCAUCUCUGGGAGGAUGACAGGGGCCUGCCACAAUUGGGCAAUGCCUGCUAGCCAAGAAUGAUCCGUGCCGCCUGCUUACAGUCGCAGAGCAGGGCAUAACCUAAACUUGUCCGGGGACAGGGCGGCCUCUAACACUAAAAAGAUUCCCUCCUUCAGAGAAAGCCCACUUUUCAGUCUUACUAAGGCAGUGUGAGUUCGCUGGACACCUCGAAGCAGAGGUCUUUGUGAUCGCAAGGCUCACACUCAGACAACUGAGGGCCAGGUGCUACCUGCAAGUGGCAGUCCCUUGGAAGCCCCCCCUCCCCCGCCUCACCCAGGAAAGCCGGGUCACAACCCUGCUCUCUGGCAAACCUCUGAAGGUUUGAGGUGCUAUGAGGAGAGGAGGCCCCAAAUCGCUAGGGUGUGCGCGGGUUCCUAGCGGAGAGCAAACACUGCCAGCUUGGGCUGAGACUACCGCGGACGGAAAGUAUGCACCGCGCGGCCCAGUCCUAGGAGAUGCGCCCAGCGAAGGAGCGGAGGGGCAGAGUCACGGGAUAGGACAGGCACCGGCUUCUCGUUUACUGGGCAGCAGCGCCGGUCCCUGCCCAGGCCUCCCUGUCCCCUAACGGGGGGUCUCAGGCUCCACAGCGCCCCCCGCCGCCCUCCCGUGCUCCUCACCGUCUCCAUUUCAAGAGUCGCAGACUGGGCUCGCUCGCUUUAGGAAGCUCUCUGGGAGCCGGGCGGGAGGGGUGGAGGGGGGACAGGUCCCGCCCCAUGUCCGGUACCGCUACACCACUUCCGCCUACGUCAGACAGACGCAAGCCAAGGGCGGAAGGCGGGGAGUUCACUCUUCCGGCGUGGCCUGGCCUGAGUAACCGCCCUCCCCCGGGUCCUCUCGGACCUCACGGAUCCGCCGACGGCGAGGGUGACUGGACCGAGCCGCUUGUAUUUAAAAUGUUCUUUUUUUAUUUGUCGUUUAAAAACAAACUUGGAAGAAGCAAAAUCCAAAACUUGCCCUUUGCCUCUUGCAACAUAAAUUAUGUACAGUUCAGAAUGAUCGCUGAUACAAAACAUGCCAAGGACAGGGCGCUGGGGGUGGAGGGAGAGAGGGCGCUUUAAAAAAGGGAAUCAUUUCAUCCGUUGUUACGAAGGACCAACCUUGCUGUACAGGAUA